CACACACGAAAGCCAGGGUAGCGAACGGGAUUAGAUACCCCGGUAGUCCUGGCCCUCAACUUUGCUCGCUCGCUCUACGGAGUAUCGACCCUCUGUGGGGCUAAGCUAACGCGGUAAGCGAGCCGCCUGGGUAGUACGAUCGCAAGAUUAAAACUCAAAGGAAUAGACGGGGACUCGCACAAGCGGUGGAUUAUGUGGCUCAAUUCGUCGGCAAACGAAGAACCUUACCAAGGUUAGAAAUCCAGCUGCAUCCUCUCCGAAAGGAGAGGAGCCUUCGAGGGUGCUGGACAGGUGAUGCAUGGUCGUCGUCAGUUCGUGGUUUGAACUGUUCCCUUCAGUGGGGUAACGAACGCAACCCCCGUUGCCUGUUGUCUAUAUGACCAGGCGAGACUGCUCCCUCACGGGAGAGGAAGGUGGGGAUGACGCCAGAUCAGCAUGUCCCUUGAUACCUUGGGCUGCACACAUAAUACAAUGGUCGGUACAACGGGAUGCAAUACCGUAAGGUGGAGCCAAUCCUUAUAAAACCGNNNNNNNNNNNNNNNNNNNNNNNNUCUGCAACCGACCUCAUGAAGCCGGAAUCGCUAGUAAUCCCGGGUCAGCCAAACCGGGGUGAAUACGUUCUCGAGUCUUGUACUCACCGCCCGUCAAGUCAGGGGAGUUGGGGGUGCCCGAAGGUCUGC
This 680-nucleotide ribosomal RNA is filed under the name Candidatus Kaiserbacteria bacterium CG10_big_fil_rev_8_21_14_0_10_56_12. RNAcentral describes it as "partial 16S ribosomal RNA". It matches the Rfam family "Bacterial small subunit ribosomal RNA", at positions 748 to 1432 of the family's 1533-position model. Lineage: Bacteria; Candidatus Kaiseribacteriota. The record is from RNAcentral.